RNAcentral lists this ribosomal RNA (254 nucleotides) under uncultured bacterium. RNAcentral's name for it is "partial 16S ribosomal RNA". It matches the Rfam family "Bacterial small subunit ribosomal RNA", at positions 524 to 776 of the family's 1533-position model. The record is from RNAcentral.
UACGUAGGGUGCGAGCGUUAAUCGGAAUUACUGGGCGUAAAGCGUGCGCAGGCGGUCUGUUAAGUCCGAUGUGAAAUCCCCGGGCUUAACCUGGGAACUGCAUUGGUGACUGGCAGGCUUUGAGUGUGGCAGAGGGAGGUAGAAUUCCACGUGUAGCAGUGAAAUGCGUAGAGAUGUGGAGGAAUACCGAUGGCGAAGGCAGCCUCCUGGGCCAACACUGACGCUCAUGCACGAAAGCCAGGGGAGCAAACGGG